This 463-nucleotide ribosomal RNA is filed under the name uncultured bacterium. RNAcentral's name for it is "partial 16S ribosomal RNA". It matches the Rfam family "Bacterial small subunit ribosomal RNA", at positions 28 to 507 of the family's 1533-position model. The record is from RNAcentral.
GACGAACGCUGGCGGCGUGCUUAACACAUGCAAGUCGAACGGAAAGGCCUUUUCGGAGGUACUCGAGUGGCGAACGGGUGAGUAACACGUGGGUGAUCUGCCCUGCACUCUGGGAUAAGCCUGGGAAACUGGGUCUAAUACCGGAUAGGACCGCACUCCAGUGUGUGUGGUGGAAAGUUUUUUCGGUGUAGGAUGAGCCCGCGGGCUAUCAGCUUGUUGGUGGGGUAAUGGGCUACCAAGGCGGCGACGGGUAGCCGGACUGAGAGGUUGGUCGGCCACAUUGGGACUGGUGAUCGGCCCAGACUCCUAAGGGAGGGAAGAAGGGGGAAUAUUGCACAAUGGGCGGAAGCCUGAUGCAGCGAAGCCGCGUGGGGGAUGACGGCCUUCGGGUUGUAAACUCCUUUCGCCAGGGACGGAGCGUUUUGUGACGGUACCUGGAGAAGAAGCACCGGCUAACUACGUG